This is a non-coding RNA of Callithrix jacchus (white-tufted-ear marmoset), 921 nucleotides long. The record is from RefSeq and is a predicted model, not a curated record. NCBI's taxonomy places the organism in Eukaryota, Metazoa, Chordata, Mammalia, Primates, Cebidae.
UAAAAGUGAGAAAACAAAGGAAUUCUUUUUCUUUUUGGACACCCGUCAUCAGCAGUGUUCUCUUUGGGCUGCUGGCAUCUGGGCCCAGUUGCUGGGUUACAGGCAAAUAUAAUCAAAACAAACACUAAAAGGACAACUUCUGAUCACAAACUUGUUGUGGAGGAGAAGAAGCCCUUAAUGAGGCCAUUAGAGCUUUAGACCUUUCUCCAACUUCCUGUUGAACGGCACCAGGAAUUUAACCUGUUUCCAGUCACUCUCUGUUAGUAGAAUUUACCACCCUACCCCCUCCUCUGAGAAUUGCCACCAGACCACCAGGGAUCAAAUGCGAUUUUGAAUAAGCCUCUUGUUCAAACUCUAUGGAUCCAGGUUUUUCAUCUGUAAAGUGGAAGUAAUGACGCUGAUAUCUCCCAGUUGUUGUUAUGAGAAGGUAUAUUUCUUCAAAGUUAUCCAGACACUGGCAACUUUUACGGAGGAAAGAAUUUCCAAAGGGAAGCCUUGUAACCUGAAAUAACCUUUCACAAGUGACGGUUGCUUCAUCAAAGAUCAGCUGUUGACCAACUUGGACAAGGCUAGGCUUUGCAAAGUCCCCACCACCAGUGAAGUCAUCCAGAGUCAGAAGGUCUAAAGAUACUGCGUAAGGGUGCUGCUUAAGCAUUUGUGGUUGCCGUUGCGUUCUGCCCAGUCCCAGCUGUUAGGCAGUAAUGAAGUGGCUAAAGUAUGGUUAAAGGCAGUGGUGGUUUCAGGACACUUUGAUCAUCUGUGGAAAUGUCUUCAAUUUGUUCUUUGGAGCCAAAGAUUAUUUUUAACAUAAGAAUGAACUAAUUAAGUGGUUAAAUUCAGAAUAAAUGACACAGAUUCAUAUAGGUUUUCAGAGAAUACUCUGGGAAAUAUUCUGUCACUUUGCUGAAAUUGGGAUAUUCA